CAGAAGAGGAGAGUGGAAUUCCACGUGUAGCGGUGAAAUGCGUAGAGAUGUGGAGGAACACCAGUGGCGAAGGCGACUCUCUGGUCUGUAACUGACGCUGAGGAGCGAAAGCGUGGGGAGCGAACAGGAUUAGAUACCCUGGUAGUCCACGCCGUAAACGAUGAGUGCUAGGUGUUAGGGGGUUUCCGCCCCUUAGUGCUGAAGUUAACGCAUUAAGCACUCCGCCUGGGGAGUACGGCCGCAAGGCUGAAACUCAAAAGAAUUGACGGGGGCCCGCACAAGCGGUGGAGCAUGUGGUUUAAUUCGAAGCAACGCGAAGAACCUUACCAGGUCUUGACAUCCUCUGAACACUCUAGAGAUAGAGUUUUCCCUUCGGGGACAGAGUGACAGGUGGUGCAUGGUUGUCGUCAGCUCGUGUCGUGAGAUGUUGGGUUAAGUCCCGCAACGAGCGCAACCCUUGAUCUUAGUUGCCAGCAUUCAGUUGGGCACUCUAAGGUGACUGCCGGUGACAAACCGGAGGAAGGUGGGGACGACGUCAAAUCAUCAUGCCCCUUAUGACCUGGGCUACACACGUGCUACAAUGGAUGGAACAAAGGGAAGCGAACCCGCGAGGUCAAGCAAAUCCCACAAAACCAUUCUCAGUU
RNAcentral lists this ribosomal RNA (644 nucleotides) under Oceanobacillus kimchii. Its description in RNAcentral is "bacterial SSU rRNA". It matches the Rfam family "Bacterial small subunit ribosomal RNA", at positions 649 to 1293 of the family's 1533-position model. Lineage: Bacteria; Bacillati; Bacillota; Bacilli; Caryophanales; Bacillaceae. The record is from RNAcentral.